UUUUAUAUUGGAGGGCAAGUCUGGUGCCAGCAGCCGCGGUAAUUCCAGCUCCAAUAGCGUAUAUUAAAGUUGUUGCGGUUAAAAAGCUCGUAGUUGGAUCUCAGCUCACGCUAAGUGGUCCACUUAAUGGUGGUUACUACUUAGCUGAGCAUUUUACAGAUUUGUCUCUUGAUGCUCUUCACCGAGUGUCAAGAGUGGUCUGUACGUUUACUUUGAAAAAAUUAGAGUGCUUAAAGCAGGCAACUCGCCCGAAUAAUCUUGCAUGGAAUAAUGGAAUAGGACCUUGGUUCUAUUUUGUUGGUCUCCGGAAUCUGAGGUAAUGAUUAAGAGGGACAGACGGGGGCAUUCGUAUUGCGCCGCUAGAGGUGAAAUUCUUGGACCGGCGCAAGACGAACUACAGCGAAAGCAUUUGCCAAGAAUGUUUUCAUUAAUCAAGAACGAAAGUUAGAGGUUCGAAGGCGAUCAGAUACCGCCCUAGUUCUAACCAUAAACGAUGCCAA
Molecule: ribosomal RNA, 500 nt
Filed under: Quadraseta pazca
Lineage: Eukaryota; Metazoa; Arthropoda; Arachnida; Trombidiformes; Trombiculidae
Description: SSU rRNA
Rfam family: Eukaryotic small subunit ribosomal RNA
Source: RNAcentral